GCAGAAGGAUCAUUAGUGAAGAUUUGGGCAGGCCAUACGGACGCCAAAAAGUGUCCCUGGCCGCCUACACCCACUAUACAUCCACAAACCCGUGUGCACUGUCUUGGAGAAAGGCUUCAGAGAAGUUUUUUGUGGCCUCUCUUGGGGUCUUUCUUCGCUACAAACUCGGAUGGUUAGUAUGAACGUGGAACUUGGUUGGACCGUCACUGGCCAACAAACUAUACACAACUUUCGACAACGGAUCUCUUGGUUCUCCCA
Molecule: unclassified non-coding RNA, 258 nt
Filed under: uncultured fungus
Lineage: Eukaryota; Fungi
Description: partial contains 18S rRNA, ITS1, 5.8S rRNA
Source: RNAcentral